Long non-coding RNA from Ictalurus punctatus (channel catfish), 1980 nucleotides. RefSeq lists it as uncharacterized. The record is from RefSeq and is a predicted model, not a curated record. The transcript has 4 exons. Lineage: Eukaryota; Metazoa; Chordata; Actinopteri; Siluriformes; Ictaluridae.
UCCCUCAGUGUUUAUAAAUCCGUUCCCUCCGUUUUUAUAAAUCCGUUCCCUCCGUUUUUAUAAAUCCGUUCCCUCCGUUUUUAUAAAUCCGUUCCCUCCGUUUUUAUAAAUCCGUUCCCUCAGUGUUUAUAAAUCUGUUCGUCAUUUUCUAAUAGUAUUCUAUGUUGUUCUAGACACAGCAGACACGGGGUUUUCUUUCUUCAAGUUGAACUUUUCUCAGGAGUUUAAGUCAUCUGGUGGGCGUGGUUGAGUGCGCAGGUGCGUCAUUCAAACCGAGCGAGAUGACCGUUGAGGAUCAGACAGCGCGAGACAGCUCCUUUCAGGGUGGUUCCUACUAGGUCUGCUAAUGGGACCGCCCUCCUGACUGGCUGCCUAUAAAGUCACCCGCUCCAGCGGUGCUGAGCAGCGAGAUGUCACAGAGAAGAGUGUGUCCAGUUUGUCGGCGUUUCUACACCAACGUGCAGGCUCAUCUCGCCCAGAUUCAUCAGCAGGGUCCAGAGGAACGCUGGCUUCACCUGGCGGCAGCGAGCGAGCGGGUGAUAUGCGGAUGCUCUGGACUGCCCGGUGUCUGCAUGCGGCAAGAAAGGUUUCCGCCGGCUAGACUGCCACCUGUUCCACCUUCACCAGCUCGCCGGGGACACGGUCAGGAAGCUACUGCUCAGCGCCAAAAUAAAGCUGCAACAACUGCAAGCUUUCGGUGAGACGAACAAAUCUAAAAGUUGCAAAUGUUCUGAACUGAUCGAAAAGUAGCAAAACUCUCCGCAGAAUUUGUGCGGCUGCAAGCGCUAGUAGCCCGGAAAGAGUAGUGGCUCUGUGGAGCCAAUGUUAAGUGUACACGGCUUGGCUGACAAGUCUCAGAGAUGUCCCCAAAGCCGCGGCCAACGGCAAGCAGGAGAGGAGACACGUCAAGCGCUUCCUUCACUUUAUGUGGGCCAACACAGACAGUCCCCUGGCAGCUGCUGGCUCAUUACCCAAAAACACUUAAAAUUUAACAUAGAAGCCAAUACUCACAUCAACCUCUGAACCCAGUUGGAGAUAGAAAAAAAGACACCAGCCGUGAGUGAGAAGAAGCAAGGGUCCAGAUUUAUUGUUCCGUUCCACCACACGAGAUCCACACCGAUGAGAAUUCUCAGAAGUGAUCUGAUACCCUGAGCUUAAGCUCCAGUAUUUAUACUGUAAUUACACAGUAAAUAACCCAUAUGUUUCAAGAAGACUAUGAUCUCAAUACCAAUAGGGUUAAAAAAGAGCUAUUCAACUUACCAUUAGCUCAAAAAACAGGGCUUUUCAACUUACAAAUAUAAUCAAAACCAAGGGUUUUCAAAUAACCAUUAGCUUCAAAAGUGGAGAGAUAAAACAAUCUAGAGUGACCUUGGUCUUACUAUUAUCUCGCUGGGGGGGCAGCUUGACUCAGCUACCCUUAUAAAUGGCUCCUCAUGGUUUUCUCUUAAAAUUAAGGCCUUCCUUGCGAGACAAGAAUCUUCACCAUCUGAAUUAUGAGUAAGUUACAUUUUCCUGUAUUUCUAGUUUAUAAUUUAUUUUCAUAUUUGCUCUAUAUCUCUAUUUUAUAUAUAGUUAUACUGCUUGAAAAACGAUUUACUGUACUUCCUACUUCAUAAAAUCAUUAUAUUACCCUUCUACUGUCCUACAUAUCCUACUAUUCUGUAUUUUAUAGAGUUUUCUAUUAUUAUAAGAUAUUACCCUUAUAAUAUCUUAAUACUCCUUUUUAUUAUUCUUAUAAAGUUAUAAUGUUAUGUGUGUGUGUGUGUGUGUAUGUGUGUGUAUUAUGUUUACAUGCCCGCCCUUGACUGUACGAGAGUGUGUGUGUAAGUGUGUGUGUGUGUGUGUGUGUGUGUCUGUGUUAGCACUCCUCAGCUCUUAUACUUCUGUUUGACUCUUCGACUAAUAAACCAUAGUGUAGUACUCUUAAAGAUCUUUAAAGUGUAAAUCCAAUUUGUCAAUAUCCGCCAAAUACCGCUUGUG